AAAUUGAAGAGUUUGAUCAUGGCUCAGAUUGAACGCUGGCGGCAGGCCUAACACAUGCAAGUCGAGCGGAAACGAGUUAUCAGAACCUUCGGGGAACGAUAACGGCUUCGAGCGGCGGACGGGUGAGUAAUGCCUAGGAAAUUGCCCUGAUGUGGGGGAUAACCAUUGGAAACGAUGGCUAAUACCGCAU
Molecule: ribosomal RNA, 190 nt
Filed under: Vibrio parahaemolyticus
Lineage: Bacteria; Pseudomonadati; Pseudomonadota; Gammaproteobacteria; Vibrionales; Vibrionaceae
Description: partial 16S ribosomal RNA
Rfam family: Bacterial small subunit ribosomal RNA
Source: RNAcentral